RNAcentral lists this transfer RNA (77 nucleotides) under Labilibacter sediminis. RNAcentral describes it as "Labilibacter sp. CG51 tRNA-Thr". It matches the Rfam family "tRNA". From Rfam's summary of the family: Transfer RNA (tRNA) molecules are approximately 80 nucleotides in length. Their secondary structure includes four short double-helical elements and three loops (D, anti-codon, and T loops). The record is from RNAcentral. Lineage: Bacteria; Pseudomonadati; Bacteroidota; Bacteroidia; Marinilabiliales; Marinilabiliaceae.
GCCAAUGUAGCUCAGCUGGCUAGAGCAGCUGAUUUGUAAUCAGCAGGUCGUGGGUUCGAGUCCCUCCAUUGGCUCAA